RNAcentral lists this ribosomal RNA (1140 nucleotides) under Micrococcus luteus. RNAcentral describes it as "bacterial SSU rRNA". It matches the Rfam family "Bacterial small subunit ribosomal RNA", at positions 41 to 1186 of the family's 1533-position model. Lineage: Bacteria; Bacillati; Actinomycetota; Actinomycetes; Micrococcales; Micrococcaceae. The record is from RNAcentral.
GGGGCGUUACGGUGGGAGUCGAGCGAGGAGGCCCGGCUUGCUGGGUGGAUUAGUGGCGGAAGCGGGUGAGUAACGCGUGAGUAACCUGCCCUUAACUCUGGGAUAAGCCUGGGAAACUGGGUCUAAUACCGGAUAGGAGCGCCUACCGCAUGGUGGGUGUUGGAAAGAUUUAUCGGUUUUGGAUGGACUCGCGGCCUAUCAGCUUGUUGGUGAGGUAAUGGCUCACCAAGGCGACGACGGGUAGCCGGCCUGAGAGGGUGACCGGCCACACUGGGACUGAGACACGGCCCAGAUUCCUACGGGAGGCAGCAGUGGGGAAUAUUGCACAAUGGGCGCAAGCCUGAUGCAGCGACGCCGCGUGAGGGAUGACGGCCUUCGGGUUGUAAACCUCUUUCAGUAGGGAAGAAGCGAAAGUGACGGUACCUGCAGAAGAAGCACCGGCUAACUACGUGCCAGCAGCCGCGGUAAUACGUAGGGUGCGAGCGUUAUCCGGAAUUAUUGGGCGUAAAGAGCUCGUAGGCGGUUUGUCGCGUCUGUCGUGAAAGUCCGGGGCUUAACCCCGGAUCUGCGGUGGGUACGGGCAGACUAGAGUGCAGUAGGGGAGACUGGAAUUCCUGGUGUAGCGGUGGAAUGCGCAGAUAUCAGGAGGAACACCGAUGGCGAAGGCAGGUCUCUGGGCUGUAACUGACGCUGAGGAGCGAAAGCAUGGGGAGCGAACAGGAUUAGAUACCCUGGUAGUCCAUGCCGUAAACGUUGGGCACUAGGUGUGGGGACCAUUCCACGGUUUCCGCGCCGCAGCUAACGCAUUAAGUGCCCCGCCUGGGGAGUACGGCCGCAAGGCUAAAACUCAAAGGAAUUGACGGGGGCCCGCACAAGCGGCGGAGCAUGCGGAUUAAUUCGAUGCAACGCGGAGAACCUUACCAAGGCUUGACAUGUUCUCGAUCGCCGUAAAAAUACGGUUUCCCCUUUGGGGCGGGUUCCCAGGUGGUGCAUGGUUGUCCUCAGCUCGUGUCGGGAAAUGUUGGGUUAAGUCCCCCAACGAAGGCAACCCUCCUUCCUUGUUGCCACCACCUCCUGGUGGGGGAAUCCUUGGAAAACUGCCCGGGGUCCACUUCGGAGGGAAGGUGGAGGAAGAACGUC